Long non-coding RNA from Ictalurus punctatus (channel catfish), 4798 nucleotides. NCBI's taxonomy places the organism in Eukaryota, Metazoa, Chordata, Actinopteri, Siluriformes, Ictaluridae. The record is from Ensembl.
CGAUUCCGUAGCUGACUCCUCAGGAGGAGAUGGUCCUGGCACGUGCUGGACACUUUGGGACGUCCUGAAGUCUUCUUCACUGCAGUUGAACCUCUCUCUUUGAAGUUCUUGAUGAUCCGGCCCAGGCUUCAGUCUUACAGCCUGAAGGGAGGAAUAAACAAGCACCUCUGGGAGAGUGGGAGACAGCUCAGAAAGGAGGGGUGAGCUGCAGAAUAACAGAAUAAAGAUGCGGAGAAGAGUCCGAGAGGAGCUCAGCUUUGGAUCGAAACCUGAGCUUGGUGCUAAGGUUUGCUAUCUCUGAGUAGAAGAAAUGGAGAGUAAGUGAAAUAUGUUUUGUUUUGUUUUUUUGUUUGGAGAAUGUUUUACAGAGUCAGGCAUUUUGUAUAUGCAUGACACACUAGCCGUACAAACAGCUCAUACUGUAUAUGCAUACACGUACACAUUUCCUGAGGGGACAGGGACAAAAAACAACUAUUGGGAUAAGUUGGUUGGUUUGUUGGAAUGUACGUACAAGUUUAGACUAAAUAUCAGACUCGAACUCCUGAGAGACAGCAGCCAAAGUGACUGUUAUACUCACUUUUCUUUUUAUAUACACCGUCUAUUUAUAACUUUUCUAAUCAUAAGUAUAUACGGUGGCCAGACGUUCUCUAAGAAUAAGUAUAUAUGAGUUCAACUCAUUGUGUUUCAUGUUCUAUAGUAAGUAAAUCCAGAGGUUGCAUCAUAUGAGAACAUUCUGCUGCUGGAAAUGCUUUUUGAAGUGCCAAACAUUAGUAAAUGCAUCAUUUAUCAAAAUAAAUAAAUAAAUAAACAAAUUAAAAUCGCAUUUGAAAGAAAUAUCUUAUGAAUACAUGAAUACAUUUGUUUUUCUCAGAGUUCUCAGUUGUCAAAGUCAAUAGAGAAAAUCUUGUUCGCCCACUUUAUCCAGCCAUCAUGGGGGAUGGACUAGACGUACAGAAUGUCCCCACCAGCCCCCAAAACCCCAGGAUCCUGACAGAUGAGCCCUUAACUCCGGUGUGUGUGGUAUGGAGCCACUGAGACUAGAGGCCAGCUGCUAUUUUAUCCAACGAUUUUCCUUUUUUCCUUCUUCUUCUUUCCAAUAGUCACUGUUUUUGUACACGCAGCGUGCGGGAUCCUAACUGCCUCUUUGGUAGCCCUCCAUCGCCAGCCAAUGCGAUCCUAAAUGCAGCGGGACGAGUGGUCCAGCGAACAACACAAAGUGUGUAAGGUGAAUUUGCUUAAAGUGCGGUAGCGUCUACGCAAAUGCAAGUGGCAGGCAACACCAAGGAUGUUUUGAAUGGAAAAUCGGGCAUUGUGGUAAGAGUUUGCUGCCUCUGACCCUGGCUGCUAGCAGACAAGCAAGUGUGAAAUCUGUAUGAAAGGUAAGCAGCUGAUAACAUUACCCAACAAAGGCAAUAUCAUCUUCCCCCCUCCACAUUUUUUCUUUCCACCAUUCUCAUCUGUCUCCGCCGAUCUUUUUUUUUUUUUACUGCUCUUUUCCUCUGUAUUCGCUCUUCAGUUUCGCUUUGCCAUUCUUACUUAUUUUCCAUUUUAAUUGAACCGCACUCUAGCAACAAAUAACAAAUGGAAAUUGGCGUUCGGUAAACACUGUCGUAGGAAGGACCGGUGUUUUACUGGCAGCGUGCUUUUCUUUUUUUUUUCUUCUUUUUUUCGUUUUGUUCUCCUGCUCAGGAUGGACUGCACUGGCAUCGCACAGCUGUCCUUUCAUUUUCAAAGCUUGUUUGAUUUUUCUAACCGUCGUUCCCCCUCCCGAGUCUCAUCUCACACUGUGAUCACAUCCAGCUCUGCGUCCUAAUGUUUACUGAGCAAUUAGGAGCAAAUUCACUUGUGCCUGUGGGGUCUGUUGCCAUAGUUACAAUAGGGUUUUCAAGGUCUAUCAUCUGGUCCUCAGUGUCCACCAAUCAGCUGCGAGCGCUGAAGCUCUCAACGUAAAGUAAAGAUGCGCAUCUUUCACCAACACAGUAGUAAGGAAUUGAAACAGAUCCACGAGUAUUACAAAGUACUCUGAAGUGGCAAGUAGGCGACUGCGUCCAGUCAUGGCGGAUCUUGGAAAUCACGGUGGAGGAGACACCCAGCAGGAGAGGCAGGUGAGAGCAUCGUCCAUUUUGAGACUUAGCUAAGACUACUCCAUGAAACAAGACUGAGACUGAGCUAACAAGAUUAGCAUUAAGCGCCAAACACUAUAAUUGGGCACGGGAUGAUGAAUUUGGUUAUGGACACACGGACGGUGACCGUGCGAAAGAAUGGACGCAAAACAAAAUGAAGCUUGGCUGUACUUCAAAACAAUUUGGGUCAAAGGCUUCUUAGAUCGAUUCGUUUUUUGGAAACCGCGAUCAAAGAGCUCCAGCAGGGCUCCUGUUCAGUUCUGAUACAUUUUUCCCCCCCUUGUAAUUUGCGAAAAAUGAGGACCGGUUGAGGAAAUUUAAUUUGAUCAGUCAGAGUACAUCUAUGUCUUCGUCUUUUGUGUGCAGAGCUCUGUGUGUAUAUAAAAUUGGCCUAGAUUAAUCAUAGCACUCUAAAUCUCAUUACAUGGAACAUCUGAGAAAAUGGCAUCUUCAAACACCUCUUUGGAUGGGAAGGGGGGAGGUGGGGCUUUAAAUUCAGGCCUUCAUCAGAUCAAAGGCCUCAGAUCGGGGAUGAAUUUUUGUUUUUCGCCGGAUAUGUUUGGAAUCGAGCAUGCUCAGAAAAUAAGCGCCAUGGUGAGGCGUAAGCAGCCAAAACUCCGCAUUCACGCCGCCCUCCUAUCGAGCGGCCCAGGAGCCUGUCAAUACGGUGAUAUGAUUUCAGUACGAAAAGAGGACCUCCCUUCAAUAACAGUCUUAAAAGGGGGCUAGAGUUGAAAGCAGAAGAAAGAAAGGGACGAUGGAGGGAAGAGGCGGAUCGCCAGCUGAAUCCAGCCAAUAUUAAAGAUGGCGGCUGGGCAUGCCGCAGACUGCGUAGCACUGGACCCAAUCUGUGGAAAGACAAUUGGAAUAGUCUUGGCUUCAGUGUAGGUACCACACACAGCGCUGACCCCACACGAACAUGGUACGAAUGGAUACAAUAAACUACCAGGAAUGGCACAAUUCUCUGUGGAUAGUAAACUUUCUAACUGGGAGAAUGCAGAAGAUGCCAUCUUUACUGUCACUUGAUCUCAUUACUGGACUAGAAAUGGUUUCUUUUGCCAGUGAAUUUACAUUCGGGGGAAGCCUGCCAAUGCAAGACAGAAGCAUCAACUUCCCCCAGGUGAGGUAUUUUAUAUUCAAUUUUAUAGAUGCAAACUUUUAAAUAUCACUAGAUUGCGUGAAUUAUGUUGUUUGAACACUACCCCAACCCUCACGUUUAGAUACAGCUCUUUCAGUCACUCUUUCUACAGCUACUGUAUCUAGUAAUAGUUUGUUUCUAGAAUUUUGUAGUCACUUUUAUAGUAACAACUCACACAUUCUUUAACCAAGACAAUUGUUGGUAUGGGGAAGCUUUCUGUUUAUUUCCAGAAGGAGUUUCAGUGUGCUAUUAUCAGCGCUUUGUAACAGUCAGUAACUUUUCCGCUAUGGUAGAGACUUCAGGACGGAGAUUUUUGUGCUUUCCUGUUUCUCUGUAACAUAACAAGCUGUUUUUUUUUUUCUUAACUUCAAGAGGGCAAAAUAAAGAUGUUGGUGAGAGAAGGACUGUUUAUAGCUGCUCUAACAUAACUGAUAACAGGAACUAACUUAUCUCACAGACACUUCACAACCUUAAACGUAACUAUAAGUGGUUAAAAAUUGCAUUCAUUGUUCGUUAACAAAUUAAGAAUUGAACUGUUGGUAAAUCACGAUGGUUUAUAAUCUCUAUAUAUGUGAAAACUAUGGAUUAUUACUCUUGAAGCUUUGUUGAAAGUAACUGGUCCUGAUUGGUCCACUGGACACUUUUGUGAAACAGAAUAAGAGGACAGAAAGCCCAACUUGGGCAUGACAUUAUAGGAAAAUAAUAGGAAAAUAAUCUACUACAGGGUAGUAACAGUAACUCCACUUUGUGUUAGGCCUCAUCACAUCACCCCGUAGUGGAUUAUUUUCCUAAAACAGUAUGCCCUGUUGUGGUAAAAUCUUUGGAGCUGUCGAUAUUGUUGUUGUGUCUUUAUCUGUAGGCCAGAGAAAGUAGAAGUUUUAUGCCACAAGAUGCUGCCACUUAGCUAGCUCACCAAUGCCACCGCUGUAAAUUUUGAAUGCAUAUAUAUCUUCUAAAUGUGAAUUUUGGGAUUGUUUUGGAGCUCACUAUCUUAUAGAUAACCUUAAGGCUAACGUAAUCGUACUAAAAGCCACAAAACUUCUAUUUUGAUUUCAUGGGGACAUUAAGGCCAGGUUUCCCAACUUGGGGUUUGUGUUCCCCUAGAGGAUUGUGCUGGAAUUGCAGGGGGUUCAUAAGAUCAAUAGAAAAUUAAGAUAUUUCACAAACUGAGAAGUACCAAGCUUUAACUGCCAGGUUUCGCCCUUUAUUACAAAAAAAAAUCUCUUAAUUUUAGCCUUGUUAAAGUCUCAAAGGUUACUUAAGGCAAAUAAUUUAGGCUGAAGGGUUUCUUCUGAAAAAAACAUUUGGGAAUCUUUGGUUUAACUCUUCUACACAUAGUGUUCAAACUUGUCAAUUUAAAGUUGUUUUUUUUUUUUUUUUUUUUUUUAGGAAAAUAAGAGAAUUAAAUCACUUCCAAAUCACUUGACUGAAAUGUUAAAUUUAACAUUUAAAUCUCAGGACUCCACUGAACCUUUUUUAAAAGCUUUGUUUUUUUUUAUUAUUGAAGUUUUUAACAUCUUAACUGUAUCAAUUUUGU